GGCGAACGGGUGAGUAACACGUGAGCAAUCUGCCCCUGACUCUGGGAUAAGCGCUGGAAACGGCGUCUAAUACCGGAUACGAGCUGCGACCGCAUGGUCAGUAGCUGGAAAGAAUUUCGGUCAGGGAUGAGCUCGCGGCCUAUCAGCUUGUUGGUGAGGUAAUGGCUCACCAAGGCGUCGACGGGUAGCCGGCCUGAGAGGGUGACCGGCCACACUGGGACUGAGACACGGCCCAGACUCCUACGGGAGGCAGCAGUGGGGAAUAUUGCACAAUGGGCGAAAGCCUGAUGCAGCAACGCCGCGUGAGGGAUGACGGCCUUCGGGUUGUAAACCUCUUUUAGCAGGGAAGAAGCGAAAGUGACGGUACCUGCAGAAAAAGCGCCGGCUAACUACGUGCCAGCAGCCGCGGUAAUACGUAGGGCGCAAGCGUUAUCCGGAAUUAUUGGGCGUAAAGAGCUCGUAGGCGGUCUGUCGCGUCUGCUGUGAAAACCCGAGGCUCAACCUCGGGCCUGCAGUGGGUACGGGCAGACUAGAGUGCGGUAGGGGAGAUUGGAAUUCCUGGUGUAGCGGUGGAAUGCGCAGAUAUCAGGAGGAACACCGAUGGCGAAGGCAGAUCUCUGGGCCGUAACUGACGCUGAGGAGCGAAAGGGUGGGGAGCAAACAGGCUUAGAUACCCUGGUAGUCCACCCCGUAAACGUUGGGAACUAGUUGUGGGGUCCAUUCCACGGAUUCCGUGACGCAGCUAACGCAUUAAGUUCCCCGCCUGGGGAGUACGGCCGCAAGGCUAAAACUCAAAGGAAUUGACGGGGACCCGCACAAGCGGCGGAGCAUGCGGAUUAAUUCGAUGCAACGCGAAGAACCUUACCAAGGCUUGACAUAUAGAGGAAACGUCUGGAAACAGUCGCCCCGCAAGGUCUCUAUACAGGUGGUGCAUGGUUGUCGUCAGCUCGUGUCGUGAGAUGUUGGGUUAAGUCCCGCAACGAGCGCAACCCUCGUUCUAUGUUGCCAGCACGUAAUGGUGGGAACUCAUGGGAUACUGCCGGGGUCAACUCGGAGGAAGGUGGGGAUGACGUCAAAUCAUCAUGCCCCUUAUGUCUUGGGCUUCACGCAUGCUACAAUGGCCGGUACAAAGGGCUGCAAUACCGUGAGGUGGAGCGAAUCCCAAAAAGCCGGUCCCAGUUCGGAUUGAGGUCUGCAACUCGACCUCAUGAAGUCGGAGUCGCUAGUAAUCGCAGAUCAGCAACGCUGCGGUGAAUACGUUCCCGGGUCUUGUACACACCGCCCGUCAAGUCAUGAAAGUCGGUAACACCUGAAGCCGGUGGCCCAACCCUU
Molecule: ribosomal RNA, 1332 nt
Filed under: Microbacterium arborescens
Lineage: Bacteria; Bacillati; Actinomycetota; Actinomycetes; Micrococcales; Microbacteriaceae
Description: bacterial SSU rRNA
Rfam family: Bacterial small subunit ribosomal RNA
Source: RNAcentral